This 67-nucleotide transfer RNA is filed under the name Pareas stanleyi (Stanley's slug snake). RNAcentral's name for it is "tRNA-Ile". The record is from RNAcentral. Lineage: Eukaryota; Metazoa; Chordata; Lepidosauria; Squamata; Pareidae.
GGAAGUGUGCCCGAGCCCACAGGGACUACCUUGAUAGUGUAACCACAGGAUACCAUCCUCACUUCCC